Molecule: long non-coding RNA, 1058 nt
Filed under: Heterocephalus glaber (naked mole-rat)
Lineage: Eukaryota; Metazoa; Chordata; Mammalia; Rodentia; Bathyergidae
Description: lncRNA (ENSHGLG00100038084.1)
Source: RNAcentral
CCUUGUGUGUCACAAGGGGGUCUGCUGGUGCCCUCUGCAGGCGCAACCCCUCUCUCUGCAGUGAUCCCGGGGGUGGGGUGUAUCACUCAGCACAGGAGGAGGCUCCCAGGACGUGGGCUGUGAGCUGAACAAGUGAGCCGCAUAGGUGCUGUUGUGUCCGGCUGGCGCCCUUCCUCCACCAUGGAGCUUUGUGCACUCAGUGCCCCUCUGCUAGCCCAGAGGAUUCGUAUCCAUGCAAACACUGAUUGUCUGCCCACUCUGCCUCUCAUUAUCUCUAAUGCCCACACCGGAGCUGUUAGGACCAAUUGCAAACAUGCAGGGGCCAGGUCCAACUUCCCAGCCCCCUGAACAGAGUGGCUCUCCGGGCAUCACACCCAGAGUGACAGCGUCUGUGUGCACCAGCUGUCAGACCUGGGCCACCUGCUGGCACCAAAGACUCCUGUUUAUGGGGACAAUGGAGAAGACAACACCAACUAAUUCACAGGCAUCAAGCAAGCUUUGGAUUGUUGUGGGUGACACAGAGGAGGCAAAAAGCCAUUAUGACUGUAAUCGAAAUGAAUCUUCCAAACCACAUUGAAGAAGAAAUCGUCCUAUUUUCCACCCAGAGAGGUGCAAAGAAAAGAGAAUAGAUGCACGCAAGGCUUUCAGCCUGAGGUUGCAAAAGAUGUCUCUCAGCCCAGGAAAUGGGAUGAUCGUGAACAUCACCAAAUAGUGGCUGCGUUAUGGGAUGUUUCUUAGUGAGAGGUUCUGUGGUUGCACUUAAAAAACAAUUCCACGUUGAUACAGCUUUAGUUCUACAGAAUUCCAGCAAAGCAACUCGUGUGUGAGGCCCAGGCCAACUCCUGGGUCGCAGUGACUCCUGCUUGCAAUAUGGGGAGACAGGGUCUCACUACGAAGCCCAGGCUGCCCUUGAAUUUGUGGUGAUCCUCCUGCCUCAGCCUUCCCAGAGCUGGCAUUAUAGCAGUGUGCCACCACUCCCAGCUGUAAUGGCGUUUUAAAAAGUAGGAUUCGACCUGUCUCUGCAGUGUUCACUUUAGCAAUUACCAAAUAAAAGUUGU